UUUUUUUUUUGUAACUACUGAACUGAAAUACCUACUUUUUUUUUUUUGUUUAAUUAAAAAAGGCCAUUUACUAACCCCUCCCCCCUCUCUAAUAAUGCAAAAAUUGACAAAUUAUCUGGCUCAACUCUAGUCACAACUGGACUACUUUAGCUUUAAAAACAAAUGCCUACUGGAUUUUGCUAGUUAUUGAAUAAUUCUUUAUACAAGAAGUGGAGAC
Pelobates cultripes (western spadefoot toad) is the source of this 217-nucleotide non-coding RNA. The record is from the annotation of a GenBank genome assembly. Lineage: Eukaryota; Metazoa; Chordata; Amphibia; Anura; Pelobatidae.